UGCCGCCCAAUCUUGCCUGGAACCGGCUGCUCCUGCUGCUCUUUUGCUUCUGCCUUAAACCUGGGUUACCCUCAUUCCCUAUUCUCCCGCCUCAGAUUGGAUGGUGCCACCCACAUCCAGGUGGAACAGGAAUUAAAACAAAUUAAAGAAUAUGCAUUGCGAAGACCCUGUUUCUCUAGCCGUGCAGCUGCAAGGUCAUAAACAGAUAAACUCAAGUCGCAACGCAUGUUUUUCCUUGAAAAGUAAGAAAUGAUGUAACGCAUGUCUCAAUUAAUUGAAUAACUGUCUUUGUUUCUCGCUUCUGCAACGUGCUUCCCCCUACACAGAUCUCCCUCCACCCCACGAAAUGCUUAAAAGGUAACUUAAGC
RNAcentral lists this long non-coding RNA (368 nucleotides) under Homo sapiens (human). Its description in RNAcentral is "HSALNT0235185". Lineage: Eukaryota; Metazoa; Chordata; Mammalia; Primates; Hominidae. The record is from RNAcentral.